AAGUCGUAACAAGGUUUCCGUAGGUGAACCUGCGGAAGGAUCAUUACCAAUUCGAAAAAUGUGGAGGGUGUUUGCAAAAACACCAGCCCAACCAACCCCUGAUUGUGAACCACAGAGAAUUAAAAAUCAAGUCUCCCCUUUGCGUUUUAAUGCGUGGGGGGGGAGCAAUUUUUAUCCAACCCCUUGACAAAAUCUGCAUCUCGUAUGUGGAGAAAAAAGCAAGCGUUGAGCUCCGAGAAAAAAAUGAAACAAAAAUGUCAUGUACAACUUUUAACGGCGGAUCUCUUGGCUCGU
Molecule: unclassified non-coding RNA, 294 nt
Filed under: fungal sp.
Lineage: Eukaryota; Fungi
Description: partial internal transcribed spacer region
Rfam family: Eukaryotic small subunit ribosomal RNA (bases 1-46)
Source: RNAcentral